Molecule: ribosomal RNA, 407 nt
Filed under: uncultured bacterium
Lineage: Bacteria
Description: partial 16S ribosomal RNA
Rfam family: Bacterial small subunit ribosomal RNA
Source: RNAcentral
AUUGAACGCUGGCGGCAGGCCUAACACAUGCAAGUCGAGCGGAGCGGGGGAGGGGGGAGUAAUGCCUAGGAAUCGGCCUGGUACUGGGGGAUAAGGUUCGGAAACGGGAGCUAAUACCGCAUCCUCUCGACAUAGCCUAGGUCGGAGUAGCUAGUUGGUGGGGUAAAGGCCAACAAGGGCGACGAUCCGUAACCGGUCUGAGAGGAUGAUCAGCCACACUGGAACGGAGACACGGUCCAGACUCCUACGGGAGGCAGCAGUGGGGAAUAUUGGACAAUGGGCGAAAGCCUGAUCCAGCCAUGCCGCGUGUGUGAAGAAGGUCUUCGGAUUGUAAAGCACUUUAAGUUGGGAGGCGUUACCAACAGAAUAAGCACCGGCUAACUUCGUGCCAGCAGCCGCGGUAAUAC